GCAGGUGCGAAAGCAGGUCAUAGUGAUCCGGUGGUUCUGAAUGGAAGGGCCAUCGCUCAACGGAUAAAAGGUACUCCGGGGAUAACAGGCUGAUACCGCCCAAGAGUUCAUAUCGACGGCGGUGUUUGGCACCUCGAUGUCGGCUCAUCACAUCCUGGGGCUGAAGUAGGUCCCAAGGGUAUGGCUGUUCGCCAUUUAAAGUGGUACGCGAGCUGGGUUUAGAACGUCGUGAGACAGUUCGGUCCCUAUCUGCCGUGGGCGCUGGAGAACUGAGGGGGGCUGCUCCUAGUACGAGAGGACCGGAGUGGACGCAUCACUGGUGUUCGGGUUGUCAUGCCAAUGGCACUGCCCGGUAGCUAAAUGCGGAAGAGAUAAGUGCUGAAAGCAUCUAAGCACGAAACUUGCCCCGAGAUGAGUUCUCCCUGACUCCUUGAGAGUCCUGAAGGAACGUUGAAGACGACGACGUUGAUAGGCCGGGUGUGUAAGCGCAGCGAUGCGUUGAGCUAACCGGUACUAAUGAACCGUGAGG
This 529-nucleotide ribosomal RNA is filed under the name Escherichia coli. Its description in RNAcentral is "partial 23S ribosomal RNA". It matches the Rfam family "Bacterial large subunit ribosomal RNA", at positions 2393 to 2916 of the family's 2925-position model. Lineage: Bacteria; Pseudomonadati; Pseudomonadota; Gammaproteobacteria; Enterobacterales; Enterobacteriaceae. The record is from RNAcentral.